RNAcentral lists this ribosomal RNA (253 nucleotides) under uncultured bacterium. RNAcentral describes it as "partial 16S ribosomal RNA". It matches the Rfam family "Bacterial small subunit ribosomal RNA", at positions 524 to 776 of the family's 1533-position model. The record is from RNAcentral.
UACGUAGGGUGCGAGCGUUGUCCGGAAUUAUUGGGCGUAAAGGGCUCGUAGGCGGUUUGUCGCGUCGGGAGUGAAAACCUUGGGCUUAACUCAGGGCUUGCUUUCGAUACGGGCAGACUAGAGGUAUGCAGGGGAGAACGGAAUUCCUGGUGUAGCGGUGGAAUGCGCAGAUAUCAGGAGGAACACCGGUGGCGAAGGCGGUUCUCUGGGCAUGAUCUGACGCUGAGGAGCGAAAGUGUGGGGAGCGAACAGG